This 465-nucleotide ribosomal RNA is filed under the name uncultured bacterium. RNAcentral describes it as "bacterial SSU rRNA". It matches the Rfam family "Bacterial small subunit ribosomal RNA", at positions 28 to 507 of the family's 1533-position model. The record is from RNAcentral.
GAUGAACGCUGGCGGCGUGCCUAAUACAUGCAAGUCGAGCGAACCACUUCGGUGGUGAGCGGCGAACGGGUGAGUAACACGUAGGUUAUCUGCCCAUCAGACGGGACAACGAUUGGAAACGAUCGCUAAUACCGGAUAGGACGAAAGUUUAAAGGUGCUUCGGCACCACUGAUGGAUGAGCCUGCGGCGCAUUAGCUAGUUGGUAGGGUAAAGGCCUACCAAGGCGACGAUGCGUAGCCGACCUGAGAGGGUGAACGGCCACACUGGGACUGAGACACGGCCCAGACUCCUACGGGAGGCAGCAGUAGGGAAUCUUCGGCAAUGGGCGAAAGCCUGACCGAGCAACGCCGCGUGAAUGAUGAAGGCCUUCGGGUUGUAAAAUUCUGUUAUAAGGGAAGAAUGGCUCUAGUAGGAAAUGGCUAGAGUGUGACGGUACCUUAUGAGAAAGCCACGGCUAACUACGUG